Molecule: ribosomal RNA, 414 nt
Filed under: uncultured bacterium
Lineage: Bacteria
Description: bacterial SSU rRNA
Rfam family: Bacterial small subunit ribosomal RNA
Source: RNAcentral
AUGGGAACGCGAAGAACCUUACCUAGACUUGACAUCUCCUGAAUAGUGUAGAGAUACNUNAAGCCCUUCGGGGCAGGAACAGGUGNGGUUGUGUCACUCGUGUCGUGAGAUGUUUGGGUUAAGUCCCGCAACGAGCGCAACCCUUAUUACUAGUUGCUACCAUUAAGUUGAGCACUCUAGUGAGACUGCCCGGGUUAACCGGGAGGAAGGCGGGGAUGACGUCAAAUCAUCAUGCCCCUUAUGUCUAGGGCAACACACGUGCUACAAUGGUGAGUACAGAUAGAUGCGAUACCGCAAGGUGGAGCCAAACUCUAAAACUCAUCCCAGUUCGGAUUGUAGGCUGCAACUCGCCUACAUGAAGUUGGAGUUGCUAGUAAUCGCGAAUCAGAAUGUCGCGGUGAAUACGUUCCCGGG